ACCGUAUAGGGGAGCCGCAGGGAAACCGAGUCUUAACUGGGCGUUAAGUUGCAGGGUAUAGACCCGAAACCCGGUGAUCUAGCCAUGGGCAGGUUGAAGGUUGGGUAACACUAACUGGAGGACCGAACCGACUAAUGUUGAAAAAUUAGCGGAUGACUUGUGGCUGGGGGUGAAAGGCCAAUCAAACCGGGAGAUAGCUGGUUCUCCCCGAAAGCUAUUUAGGUAGCGCCUCGUGAACUCAUCUUCGGGGGUAGAGCACUGUUUCGGCUAGGGGGUCAUCCCGACUUACCAACCCGAUGCAAACUACGAAUACCGAAGAAUGUUAUCACGGGAGACACACGGCGGGUGCUAACGUCCGUCGUGAAGAGGGAAACAACCCAGACCGCCAGCUAAGGUCCCAAAGUCAUGGUUAAGUGGGAAACGAUGUGGGAAGGCACAGACAGCCAGGAUGUUGGCUUAGAAGCAGCCAUCAUUUAAAGAAAGCGUAAUAGCUCACUGGUCGAGUCGGCCUGCGCGGAAGAUGUAACGGGGCUAAACCAUGCACCGAAGCUGCGGCAGCGACACUAUGUGUUGUUGGGUAGGGGAGCGUUCUGUAAGCCUGCGAAGGUGUGCUGUGAGGCAUGCUGGAGGUAUCAGAAGUGCGAAUGCUGACAUAAGUAACGAUAAAGCGGGUGAAAAGCCCGCUCGCCGGAAGACCAAGGGUUCCUGUCCAACGUUAAUCGGGGCAGGGUGAGUCGACCCCUAAGGCGAGGCCGAAAGGCGUAGUCGAUGGGAAACAGGUUAAUAUUCCUGUACUUGGUGUUACUGCGAAGGGGGGACGGAGAAGGCUAUGUUAGCCGGGCGACGGUUGUC
Molecule: ribosomal RNA, 852 nt
Filed under: Klebsiella pneumoniae
Lineage: Bacteria; Pseudomonadati; Pseudomonadota; Gammaproteobacteria; Enterobacterales; Enterobacteriaceae
Description: partial 23S ribosomal RNA
Rfam family: Bacterial large subunit ribosomal RNA
Source: RNAcentral